GUGGGGAAUAUUCCGCAAUGGACGAAAGUCUGACGGAGCAACGCCGCGUGAGUGAUGAAGGUUUUCGGACUGUAAAGCUCUGUUGUUUAGGACGAAAGUGCCUGUUGCGAACAGUUACAGGUAUUGACGGUACUAAACGAGGAAGCCACGGCUAACUACGUGCCAGCAGCCGCGGUAAUACGUAGGUGGCAAGCGUUGUCCGGAAUUAUUGGGCGUAAAGAGCAUGUAGGCGGAGAUGUAAGUCUGUUGUGAAAAUGCGGGGCUCAACCCCGUAUUGCGAUGGAAACUGAAUUUCUUGAGGGCAGGAGAGGAAAGGGGAAUUCCCAGUGUAGCGGUGAAAUGCGUAGAUAUUGGGAGGAACACCAGUGGCGAAGGCGCCUUUCUGGACUGUGUCUGACGCUGAGAUGCGAAAGCCAGGGUAGCGAACGGGAUUAGAAACCCGUGUAGUCC
This 450-nucleotide ribosomal RNA is filed under the name uncultured bacterium. RNAcentral's name for it is "partial 16S ribosomal RNA". It matches the Rfam family "Bacterial small subunit ribosomal RNA", at positions 354 to 796 of the family's 1533-position model. The record is from RNAcentral.